Non-coding RNA from Pteropus vampyrus (large flying fox), 135 nucleotides. NCBI's taxonomy places the organism in Eukaryota, Metazoa, Chordata, Mammalia, Chiroptera, Pteropodidae. The record is from Rfam.
AAACUCCGCUGACUGCCCUUUGCUCGAAGUAAUUUUUGGCGAUUUUUUUAGUGAUUUUUCUGUGGAGUUCUAGUGGCGAUAUACUCUCGGACAGGUUAUCCCGCCUCACCCGCUAGAUUGAUGAGAUCAGGCAUC